CGACAAGCGCAUCCGACGCCCUGGGCCCCCACCGCCGCACGCCGCGCGGGCAACGCACCACCGCCACGCCGCGCCGCAGCAAAAGCGAAGCCAGCGGGAAUGCACGAUCGCCGCCGCCGCGGCGCCUACUUCCCUGCCCCGCGUCGCUGCGGCCGUCGCCGACUCGGCUUGAGGAAGCGGUUGCUUGCCAAUGCCAGGUCCAAAAUUGAGUGCUAUGUUGGUUACAAGGCUUUCCCAGUAUGCUUUCAUAUGUUUAUCAUCAUGCUGAUGCCAUAUAGAGGCAAGAGCCUUUUAGCUUGUCAUCAAGUAGGAAUAUAUUGUUUUCUUUGUCUCGUCUCUCGUCUUUGUGUUUUCCUGGUACCACUGUAUAUUUUUUUUAUUUUGUUCAAUAAGAGGAUAAAAGCAAAAGCAUCUCUUAUGAGUUUGAAUUGGUCGCUUUUCCUAACAUCAACAUUUUCAGCAAACUAUAACCAUAUUAACUGAAUCAGGUUUUUAAUUUAAAAUAAAAACAUGGUGCUUUCAAUUGUGCUAUGUAUUGUAUCAGAUACUGCUGUAUGUUAUUUGAUUUUGUUCAAUAAGAGGACAAAAGUAUCUUAUGAGCUUGAAUUGGCCGCUUUUCCUAUAUUCACAUUUUUAACAAACUAUAUAGUCAUUUUAGCCGAAUCAGGGGUUUUAAUUAGAAAUAAAAAUACAGCGCUUUCAGUUGCAUGAUGUAUUGUGUCAGAUGGAAUCAGUGAUCUUUUUUAUAUUCUUUAUUCCAUUAGAUCAAUGAAUAACAUGAAACUUUGAUAUCCCAGGUUGUAGCCCUACCUUAUUUAUAUAGUUUGAUUUUUUUAUAUUGCUCCGUAUUUUCUGUUAUCUUCCACUUGCUAAUGAUGAUGUUUGCUGGAAAGCAAUGUACUGUUGUUGGCAAUGUUGAGAAUGCAUAUUACAAUACAAAUUAAAUGUCUUUUUUCAUCUGGAGGAGCACUACCACUCAGUUCCCAUUUUGAUGCCUUACUACUACAUCUACUUCUCUUCAUACUUCUUUUUUUUUGGCUUUCCUUUCAACUGAUGUAUUCAUUUUUGAAACAUGCAGAUACUUCCAGUAAUGCAGCAAAUAUGUCAUAGUAGAUACAGGAUUCUUCUAAAUAAAGAUAAUUAAAGUGCAUAUGGCCAUAAGUUGAAACAUCAUGUUAUGAAAUCAAGCUCUUGGCUAGUAUAAUGUAUCUUUUUUUAUAGUUUUUCUUAUUGGCUGAUUGCUAGAUUUCUUAGUUUUUAGGCUUCUCUCAAAUUGCUUUUUAGUGCUAAUGGUCCUUAUCAGCAUUAUUGGUCUCAUAACAUUUGUGAAAAAUCCAACGACCAGUCACUUUAUGCCAGCCUUUUCAUGCACAUGGCCAUGCCCCAUCAGUUGUACGACAUAAAACGAUAGUUGUUGAUUCUAAAGCAAACCUCUUUUCUUUUCGAAACAAAAUUGGACUAGCUUUAUUUGGGAAUAGUGCAAUGCAGGAAAUAAAUUCAUAUUGAUAUUGGUUUAUUCUUGACUAGUCACAAGGAAAGGAACCCACCAGAAAGGCCAAGCCAAAUCUGUUAACAAUCUAGCUAAGCCAAAGGAACACCAUGUUUUCCCUUCAUUUUUGUUAACUUAAUUUCUUGAUUUAGCAUUGUAUCCCCUGUACUAUGUUAAGAUGCUUUAUAGUUCAUGCAAUCAAAUUUUCUGAUUUCUGAACUAACUCAAUAGUCAAUAUGUUUUAGACUAUGGAUCAGUCCUAUGAAAAUUGUAUCAUUAUAUUUGGAUUUAAAAAAUGAUUUAGAAAUGCUCUUGUUAUUUAAUAUCCCCUAGUGUACUAAUUGCCAAAGUCUAUAAGAAAAUAAAAGGCAGGGAUGUGUACGAGUAAGGCUUCUCAAAAUCCAGGCAAUGUACCUUUUAAUGAAGAUGUUGAAAAACCAUGUUCUUUAACUCAUUUGGGUUUUUUCAGUCAUAGCUAGCUUGAGGGGGGUGAUACACCAUUUUAUGUAAACAAAACUCGCCCUAGACUAUUGCACAAACAAUGAGGAAUAGACCCAGCCACCCAGGAAGCAUGCUAGCUUCAGCCCCCAUGACAGCUGAAUAUUAACUCAGCCAAAGUGCAAAGCUUUAAGAGAUUUCACUGACUAAAUUUACAGAACACAUCAUGGCUAUGUUACAUAAAUAAUGAUGCACAAACUCAAUGGAUCAUAUAUUGAGUCUCACCACAUUGAGGCUUCAUAGAUUACCCAAUCUACAUGGUAGGUAGAUAUUCAUGAAUAGUUUCUUCCUUUUUUCUUUCCUGAAUGUGUUUACUUCUUCUUGAGAAUGAUUGCUCCUUUGUACCCUAUCAAAUCAACCAAUCGUUUUCCAUUCCUGUAUUCAAGUAGAAAGCGCUCAAGUAGCUUGGGUUCUCCACACAGAAAAGUUUACGACAGAAACGGGAAAGUGAAAGGGGGAAGAAAAUAGCUCUCAGGUCAACAUUCCAAAUUUCUUCUUACAAAUAUACAACUGUCGUUU
Molecule: RNA transcript, 2506 nt
Organism: Zea mays
Lineage: Eukaryota; Viridiplantae; Streptophyta; Magnoliopsida; Poales; Poaceae
Gene name: beta-1,4-xylosyltransferase pseudogene
Exons: 2
Source: RefSeq, marked validated